GACGAACGCUGGCGGCGUGCUUAAUACAUGCCAGUCGAACGGAAAGGCCCUGCUCUUGCUGGGUGCUCGUGAGGCGAACGGGGGAGUAUCACGCGUGUAUCCCCCACCUGUCUUUCGGAUAACACUACGAAAAACGGGCGCAUAUCGCGUAUGAUCUCUUGCAGCGCGGGGUUCGUUGGUAAGAUUCGGCGGUUGGGUCUGGUUUCGCGGCUUAUCCGCUUGUUGGUGGGGUAGUGGCUUACCAAGGCUUCGACGGAUAGCCGGCCUGAGAGGGUGACCGGCCACAUUGGGACUGCGGUACGGCCCAGACUGCAACGGGAGGCAGCAGUGGGGAAUCUUGCAGAGUGGGCGGAAGCCUGAUGCAGCAACGCCGCGUGCGGGAUAACGGCCUUCGGGUUGUAAACCGCUGUCGAAUGUGACGAAGCGUGAGUGACGGUAAUGGGUAAGAAAGCACCGGCUAACUACGUG
This 468-nucleotide ribosomal RNA is filed under the name uncultured bacterium. Its description in RNAcentral is "partial 16S ribosomal RNA". It matches the Rfam family "Bacterial small subunit ribosomal RNA", at positions 28 to 507 of the family's 1533-position model. The record is from RNAcentral.